GCAAAAAAAAAAAUCUUUUGGAGUUUUUGUAUAUAGAUUUUUGUAAAAAUCUCCAGAAGGGACCUGAUGUAUCUUCAGCAGGUGUUUUCUUUAAUUUUUACCUCAGAAUCUGCAGGAGAUCACAAGUGCCUUCCAAGCUGGACAUUUCGAAGGAAGAACCGUUGCAGGAUCUAAAGAGGAUUCUUCAAGAAUUAGCAGGCUCAGACAGUGACAUUCCCUCUGUGGAUCUCAGUGGCAAUGGUGGGAGAAAAUCACCUUUAUCAGCCAUGAGCAAUGCAGUGUAAGAGGAUCCUUCCUGCUCACACCCUGCAGAGCUUCAGUCCCAAGAUGUUUCCCUGCCCUUUACAUCCCUGGGAAUUGCAUCCAUCUGCUCGGCAGCUCGCUGUUACACAUCCUCCCCCAG
Long non-coding RNA from Neopelma chrysocephalum (saffron-crested tyrant-manakin), 403 nucleotides. RefSeq lists it as uncharacterized. The transcript is spliced from 4 exons. Lineage: Eukaryota; Metazoa; Chordata; Aves; Passeriformes; Pipridae. The record is from RefSeq and is a predicted model, not a curated record.